AGUGAAGUGUAAUGCAACCUAAAUACUUGAUAUUCUAGAAUCCAUCUCAUUAUGAUUCUGAGGAGAGUUAACAUCGUCAUCCUGCUCAUUAAUAUGGUUACACGGUUUAAACUACAUCAUAUGGUCACAUUGACACCAUUGUUAGGAGCAUGAGUUUCCAUGCACAUUUCAUUUGAUAAGUGUCCAUUCCAUAACAACAACCAGUUUAAGCUACAUCAUGAUAACUUCAUACAAAUAAUAGCCACCAAUUAAAUAACAAACAUAAUCUCAUAGUGUAACAUUCAUUAUCACGUAUUUUUCAAAUUAUAGCUUAAAAACCCAAAAUGUUUGCAUUUUCAGUCCGUACGCAUGGCGUAAGUUGGAGCUACGCCUUGCGUAGCUCAUUAAUUUCGGGCACGAACUUUGGCUCGUGCACUGGGCGUAUGUGGAGCUCUUGAGUGAUAUUUUGGUGUUCUUGGUGGUGAAGGAAGAUCUUUGGAAAACUAGUGUUGUACUCAAGCUUUUGGAUCCAGAUUCUUCACAUCUUUGUGCAUCUCCAGGAGGUUCUUCUGGUACGAAAGGGAAGGGCCCAACGUGAUGGCACAACAUCCUCCCCUCAUGAUUUCCACACUAUAUUGGAUAUUUGUACUAUGAUGUUUUUGAUAUUGUACUUUGUGAUUGAGUUUGAGAUAUUUGAUGAAUGAAACUAAUGGUUUUAAAAAUAAAAAAAAAUAUCUCAUUUUUUGGGUCGUUACAAGUUGAUAUCAAAGCCUUGGUUUGAUGGAUUCAGGCACACUUUUCGGGUGUGUUAGAACUCAAACUGAGGAAAUGAUAAUCUUUUCAAAAGAAAAUUUUAAUUUCUAAAAAGAUUUUUACUAAGUGAAAAGGGGGUGUGAUGCGUGCGAUCAACCGAUCUCAAGUAAGUGGUUCCCAAAAUAUCUAUACCCAUGUAUUUUAGAUAUGCGAAUUGCAUGCUAGUGUAGGGAUAAGGAUACCUUCAGGAAUCAUAUGAUAGAAUUGUCUGAUUUUGUAUGAUGCCUUAUAUCCUAGGAAGAUUGGAUGCUAAGUGUUACUUUAAAUUGAUAUCGACUUAGUUUUUUGCUAAGUGUAUGCUUUAAAAGUUGUAUAUGAUUAGGUUCAUAUAGCCCUAUAAUGAUCAGUUUAGCCUCAUUUCCUGUUCCUUGUGUGGUUGUGGAUUUAGGGUAGAAUCAUUAUUCGACAGUCUUUGUGAUCCCAUUUUGUGUACAACAUGCAUGCAUAAGGCAAAUAACGGUGUUGGUUGAGGUUCUCGGUAUUGUAGGACGGUUGAAUUGGGGAUUCCUAGGAGAACCUAGGAAUGCCAUAACAUUAUUUGCAUGUUGAUUAGCAUAGGGAUGGUGUAUAUUCAUCUAGUGUGGUGACUUAGGGGUUUCAGGACGGUUCUUGAGGAAAGUACAGAUAGGUGUGGAAGGUAGUAUUGGGGUCAUACUACUAAAAGCAUAGGAUAUGUACCUGAGAUAAGAGCAAUUUUGGAACUUCUAAGGAUCUUGUACAAAAGAAGUCUCCUUGAAAUUAUGGUGAUCGUUUGUGUGUUUGUAGUUCAGUUGAGUAUGGUGUCUACUCGAGGAGGAGCUUAUGGAUCUGGUUCCGACGCUGGUGCCGCAUCCAUUGAUGAGCGGUUGCGAAAGUUUAUCACUUAUGAGAUCACUCACGGUAUUAUGGAGUCUACCCCUGUGAUUUUCGAUACCAUCAAGGAGGGGAUUAUGGAGCUUUUGGAUGAGCGACUCGGAGCCCUUCGGGCGGAGAUCGCUUUGGGACAGUUAGGAGCACGAACACCUUCAUUUAGGGAGUUUAAGGCCUGUGGAGCUCUAGAGUUCUUUGGGGCUAAGGAUCCCAUUGCCAGCCAUGGGUGGAUCACUGACAUGGAAAAUGCUCAGCGAACAAGCUUCUACCCUAAAGGGGUAAAAGUGGGAUCCGUCACCUGCCUUUUGAGAGACCGAGCCCGAGACUGGUGGGAGGAGGGCGGUUGUGCGUUGGGGACUGAGGCGGUGUGUCGCGGAUGAGGAGAUGAAGAAGACAAGGUAGCAUGAUAUGCUGAAGGAUGAGAUCAGAGAGUUUGUGAGCUAUUCACGGUGCAAGACCCUAAAUGAUAUGAUUGCGAGGGCCUGAGAACGAGAGAUAGAGUUGGGGCUUCGGACGAACCACAAGCCGGAGCAGGUGUUGUAACGCUUGUUCCAGGUAUCAUUUAUUUCUCUAAAAUUUUAGGGUUUUGGAUCGGGACUCGACGAGUUGGGGAGCUCCAACUCGUCAAGUAGGAAUCAUUAUGGACGCGGGAUGAAGGGUCUACUCGACGAGUUGGAAAGGAAAACCCUAAUUUUUCGGGUUAUGACUUCCUUGCUACGCGUAUGGGUCCUGUGCUUUCAGUAAUAUAGGCCCAUACUACCUUCCACACCUACCCAUAUUUUUCUCAAGUAUCACCACAACACCCUAAUAUUAUACAUAAGCAUGGUGUGCACUCAAUCCUCACUCUUAGAGGAAGGCUAAAUAUCGUGUGACUGGUUUACUGACCCCGCACAACCCACCCAUGAAACUUCCACCAACCUUGCAACACUCGUGUAUGCUAGCCAUACAUAACGUUGGCCCCUAUAGACUUUCGAAUACCUGAUCCUACCCUAAGCCCUUCAUCAAACAAGAACAUGAAAUAAGGCCAAACCAAACAUUCUUAGGCUAUAAGAUCUUAAUUAUGUACAUCCGUGAUGCAUACACUAAGCAAAUACAGUAAUGAUGUCAAUUUCAUAUAAGGAAAAACCCUAGGCUAUCAGGCAUCAUAUAAUCAGGCAAUUCUAUCAUGCAAUUCCUGAAGAUCCCCAGCCUAGUACUAGCAUGCUGUUCUAACAUAUCACAAAAUCAAAUAAUCCGUAAGGUAUGUUGGGGUCUACUUACUGGCUCCGACUGAUCGUACACUUGCAUCAUCCUUUAGUAUUUUGAAAACCAUUUGAAAAGUCAUUUUAAAAUCCUGUCCUUAGUUUGAGACUGGAGACACACGAGUGUUUCCUCCAAUUUACUCAAACCAAGGCUCUGAUACCAACUUGUAACACCUGUAAAAAAAUCAUGCCAAUUUAAAACUUUGUAAAUCAUUCAAAAACCAAUAAUUAUUACAAAUUUGUUUUCAAAAUGGCUUCAUGUCAGAGUAUCCCAAAAUCAAAUCAUAAAAAUAUAAGGAGGUGUACGAUCACGCCUUUGCCUUCCCGCGAUUAGAAAAAGUACCUGAAACAAAAUCAGCAACUGUAACCCGAAGCUUAGUGAGUUCCCCCAAAAUACCAAGGCCAUGCAAACCAUAUCAACAUCAUAUAUACAAACAACAUGCAUAAUGAGCCAUCAGCCUGACUGGACCGCCUCGCAGGGCCAUCAAUUUAUAUGGACCGCUCUCCGAGCCAUCGGAACGUCUGGACUACCUCUCAGGGCCUUCAGCCUAUCCAGACCGCUCGCCGGGCCUUCAGCCUGACUAGUAUGCCCUCCCGGCCUGCAGUCUAUCCGGUCUGCCCUGGGUAUGUUGGCCUUCAGCACAAAGCAGUUCCGCCUCAACCUAACCCCCAAAUCAGACAAUCAUGUGCACAUAAAUAUCAUAUGCUAUCUAGCAUGUACAAAUAGUCAUACAGAUCUAACAGAUCACUAACAUAGUAACAUCCUAUAACCAGGAUACUGACCUAACCGGUCUCUAACAUAGCAUUAUCCUAUAUACCAGGAUACCGACCUACCAGGUCACUAAACAUAUCACCAUCCUAAUUACCAGGAUGCAAAUCAAUAAGCAUAUGAUGCAAUAAACCUAGAUACAAAUCCAAAAAGGGCCGAAAUUGGUGCCUUCGACCCUGUUAGUAUAGUGAGGACAACUCACCUCACAAGUAGCUCGGGAUGAUAAAUGUCAAACUCCGCAAAUACAGCUCCCAACUCAAGCACCUAAAUCCACCAAUGAUCCACUUUCAUAAAUUUCCAAAUUACUAAAAUACCCCCAUAAGUCAAACUGGUCAACCCUUGGCCAAAGUCAAAGUCAACGGUCAAGGUCAACAGUCCAUGUUGACCCAACUUGUCCAGUGUAGCCCACUGACUUGUCGAGUUCUUCUAGAACUUGAGAAAUCGUGAAAACCCUAGUUGACUUGACGAUUUUCCAGACAACUCGUCGAGUCCAUGCGAUGUCCAAAUGUUAGGAAACCCCUAACUAACUCGUCGAGCCAUCUCACUGACUCGUCGAGUCCAUGCAGAAACCAAAAACAACCAAUCUUCAUCUGACUCGUCGAGUUGACCAUGCAACUCGUCGAGCCCCUUCAAUCCAUUUCUCAUUCAGACGUUUUUAAGCUAUCCCAAAGCUCCAAAUUGUAGAUCUAGCUUCCUCAGGCAUAUUUACCACCUAAAGUUGCAAACUUUACAUGCAUGCAAGGUCUUAAAGGCCAAAACCAAGCCAAAGAAGAAUUUUUAGGUAAGGAGAAGUACAUAACUUGCUAAAGACUAGAACUUUAUGACUAUAAGGGGCUACAGGAGUCCAGAUCUGAAGUUACAAUUUCAAAUCAUGCCUAAAACCAUAAAUAACUCCACAACAAACUAGAAAUAACCCUAAACCUUUGCAUGAAGAGAUCUAGAUAGAGAGGAGCCAAGGUAACGACUUGUUACCUUCAAGAUGAUGCUAAGAUGAAGUAGAAGUCAGAUCCGCAAGCCUCUCGUUGCUCCAACACUACUAUAAAACAGGCCUUUAAUGACGCGCAAACAAUGACACUCGCUGAUAGAGGACGCGCAUUGGUGCGUGCCCUAAAAAAUAAUGUCAGUUUUGCAAAAUUUGAAGAAUAGAGGAUACGCAUUUGUGCGUGCCCCAAAAUUAAUGUCCAACGAAAAAAAUUAAAAACACGGAAGGCACAUAAAUUUAAGUGGGCGUCGUGUAGAGAUGUCGCUUUAUAAAAUUUUAAUAAGCGUGUCCCUCUUUAAUGCAACUAAGGGGGGAAACCAAAUCCCCAAAAAAUUCAAGUACCCGCCUUUCCCAAAAAAUCGAACCUCACAAUAUCUUUCAUGGAUUCGGCGAUUGGGAGUCUACGAAUCCUCAAACUCGAAAUGCCGGCGAUUUUAAGGCUUUUCUUGUCCCCGAUAUCAAAGAAGAACUAGGGUUUUUACUUUUUAUGAUCUGGACCUCACAAGUUCGCACCCAUGAACUAAGGCUUUUAUUAGCCAAUAGCAUUCAUUUUCACUGUUGUUGGUUCAUCAGCCAAUCGCCAACCACUGCUCGCAGCACUUGGCCGUCAUCAGUUUUCCGAUUCCGCCGACGAUUAUGCCAAGAGAAACUACGCCAACAAUGUGUCUGGAUACAAUACCGUCAUCGGAUCUCUUACUUCUCAAAGAAGAAGCAGCAGCAGCACAAGAAAGACGGGUGAAGGAAAAGGCUAGGGUUUUCUGCUCGAUUCCACUGUUCACAUUGAUUUUCUCAUCUAAAUUUGAACUGUUUAUGUUGAUUUCAUCUGUAAGCUAGGGUUUUCUGCUCAAUUCCUCUAUUAACAUUGAUUUUCUCAUGUUUGGCACAUGAUUGAAGGUUGAAGGAGCCAUGGAACACUGGUACAUCUACUAUUCUUGUUAUAAUGACACAGACCAGGCUUCUGGAGCUUAUAUCUUCAGUCUUAAUGCCACAUUUCCAAUAAAAUCUCAAGGAAAGCUUUCACUAUCGUAAGGGGCCCUCUAAUGGAUGAAGUGCACCAACAAUUAAUCUCCUGGAUAUAUCAGGUCACCCGUGUAUACAAGGAGAAGGAACAUCCCUUACUGUGACAUUUCUCUCUAUUUAUUAUAAUCCUAGCCAAUCCAUGUGAAUUUCCUGUUUUAACCUUUAUUGGGCCUUCUACACAGGAGACUUGAAAGUGGGUUUUGCUUCUAGCCUUGCCACCAGCUACUUGGUUCGACCAUCUUCUGGACUUCGCUUCCGUUCUAGUUAUCAUGUUAGCUAAUUGGAGAUUAGGAUUAAUCUUAAGAGAGGACAAGACAAGAGAAAACCUUGAAUUUAAGGUUCAAGGGAGGAGCCCUAGGAAACGAGAGAAAAGAAGUUUUAUGUGUCGUUUGGGGGGAAGGCAGUGUAACCUACAUCAAUUGAUGAUUCUACCCGUUUUCUAACCGGCGCUUGAAACAAAGCAGGAGUUGGUGUUCCAUGGUUUUCAGGGAACCAUUUAUGGACAAAAUUGUACAGAAGAAAAAACAGCGUUUAUUUCACAAGCGCAUUGAAUUUUUCUACAAUUCAACCUGAUUUUAGAAUCUACCGACAAAGAGAAUUUGAAAGAAGUCGAUUCUGGUUUCAACCGGAGACUGCAGCAACAGAUGAGAAGUUCACUGGAAUGAUUAUUAUUUUUUGUAUCAAAAAGGUUGUUUAUAUUGCAGCCAUGUUUCAUAUUCUGGUUGUUUUUGCUGGACCAAGUGGGAGUUACUUGUGUCUGUAGUAUUUAUUUAUUUUUGAUAUUUGUUAUCGUAUCAAGUUUUUGAUGUUUUUCAGUUGAGAAGUAUUGUGUCCAAACAAGUAGGUCCCACUGACCAGGGAAAGGCACAAGGGUGCAUUACAUGCCUAUGUUCUUUCGCCAGUAUUGUUUCACCACUAAUUUUCAACCCUCUAACAGCUUUAUUCUUAUUUGACAAUGCUCC
Lactuca sativa (garden lettuce) is the source of this 6615-nucleotide non-coding RNA. Lineage: Eukaryota; Viridiplantae; Streptophyta; Magnoliopsida; Asterales; Asteraceae. The record is from RefSeq and is a predicted model, not a curated record.